CCCCCGAUUUUUCCUGCCCAGCCAGGAGGCUGCAGGACCCCCAGAUCCAGCCCCACCCUGCAGCAAUCUCAGCUCGGUCUCCACCCUGCCCGCCCGGGGUUCCCCGGGUGCCCCCCUCCUACCUGCGGGGUCGGACGCGGCUUUGCUCGGCUCCCUGUGCACCUCCCGGUCCUGCGGAGGGGGUAUAUAAGGGGCCGGGGAGAAACUUCUGGAAAGUUGGGAAAACCCUCUCAAAAAUGCUGGGGAGGGAGAGGAAGGGGAGGAUCCGUGCCGGCUGUGUCCCGGCCCGCCGCCAAUGGCAGGGAAUGCCGGCCCCGCGCCGCCGAAGGGGGGUCGGGCUGGAUGGGGGAUGCGCGUUCCCUCCUCCUGCCCUGCCUGGAGCCCUGCCUGAGCCCAGCCAGCCCUUGCAGCAGGAACAUGGGCAACUAUUCCCUGCACAAGCUGUGCUUUUGCCUUUUCACAUCUUAUUUCCAUCCUCUCCCUCCCCCGGGCGUUUCCUGCAGCUGGAUGGUUGUUGGUACCAAAGGCAGUUCCAGUUAAUAGAGUAGUUGGAUCUGCUGGAGGCAAGUUCAUCAAAUGUGGGAUGCACAAUGAAUCCACUCUGAGCUCUGUCUCUGAUUCACCAUGUGCAAUGAAUCCAGCAAUUUGCUGCUACUUGAAGCCUUUCUAAUUUCCCUGGCAUUUGCAGGAAGGUCCAUGGUCACCCUGUGGAAGCAGGUAUGAAGUCGAAGGUGGGGCAGGAUGGGGGGACACCCAAAAGCCCUUCAGGAAUCUCAGGCACCACAGGGCUGAUGCAGAGUUCAGUGCAAACAAAUCCUUGUGGGCAUGAGAAGCACUGGGCUCGUGGCACCGUGCACUCCAGAGGUCCUUUAGGGCCUCACCACCUGUGUUGUCCCAGUGGAAAAUCCCAGUGCUCUGGCUUCAGCUAAACAGAUAAUUGCAUGCCUUAGUGGCAGCCCUGCAUCCCUGGGGCAGCAGGACCACUGUCCCUGAGGGUGGGAUCAGGGUGAAAAACCUCCUCCAGCCUUGGCUGCCACCAGGGUUUGUGUCUCCGGUCCCAGCUCCAAUCCCACGCCCUGAGUCCUGCACUGGGAAUACACUUCUGGCUCUGCAUGGCUGUGGCCAAGAGUUUCCCAUGCUUCAGAAAGUGCCAUAAACCCACAAUAAACAGCACAGCCCCUGCA
Molecule: long non-coding RNA, 1184 nt
Filed under: Cyanistes caeruleus (blue tit)
Lineage: Eukaryota; Metazoa; Chordata; Aves; Passeriformes; Paridae
Description: lncRNA (ENSCCEG00000005291.1)
Source: RNAcentral